RNAcentral lists this unclassified non-coding RNA (684 nucleotides) under Zea mays. Its description in RNAcentral is "misc RNA Zm00001eb230850". Lineage: Eukaryota; Viridiplantae; Streptophyta; Magnoliopsida; Poales; Poaceae. The record is from RNAcentral.
ACCACACUAAAACCCUUUCGUCUGGAACGAUCAAAAUUUUGCGGAGGGAAGGAGCGCGAGUCUUACAAUCCGGCUGAAGGCCCCGUCCCCGUGCGGGGCGUCGAGGACGCGGACGCGGGCGCGGGUCUCGUCGCAGAGGCGCUUGAUGGUGUCGCCGCGGCGCCCGAUGAUUCCGCCGACCUUGUCCGCGGGCACCACCAGGCGGAACACGCUCGCGCCAGGCCACCCGGGCCACCGCGGCCUCGCAUCCUCCCCCUCGCCCUUCUUCGUCGCCUCCACCGCCGUGACCGGAGCCGGCUGCUGCUCCGGCUCAGCCCAAGCGGGGGCGGGGGAUGGGGUCGGCGCCGGGUGCUUCGGCUCUGGCUCUGGUUCUAGCUCCGGCUCCGAGCCGGAGGACGUGAACCACGGCUCCACCUCCUCCGGGUCCUCCUCCUCGUCGAAGUCGAUCUCGGUCUCCUCCUCCUCCUCCUCCUCACGCGGCGGCGACCACGCGGGUGGCUCCAUGACGGGUGGGGGUUUCGACUUUCGAGGACGCGGCGGAGCGAAGGGAAGCGAGCGAAGGAAACGCUUCUGUGGGGUUUUCCGGCUGGUUGAGAGCCGGGCCGAACUAUUCGUGUUUGUGGGUUGGCCGUUGGCGUUGGGUGUAGAAUCAUCGGGCAGCGCGCCGAGCUAUUCGUGUUUGUG